CCAUAAUGAAUAAACUUAGAAAUAGAUUUUUUUGGCAAAAUUAUGCAAUUUAAUUAAAACUAAAAUAAUACCUAUCUGGAAAUCAAAGUAGUUCUACCGUAAUACAAUUGAUUGGUAAAAUGUAGUUAUCAACUUUGUCAUUAAUUAUUCCUGUUUCAUAAAAUAUGCGUUUUUAUACAAAUCUUAACUCUACGUAUAACAAAGAGACCAAUUGUUUUUUUUUUUUUUUUUAAUGAUUUUAUAGAGUUUAUAAACAAUCCCUUGGUGUGUAAUAAUAUAAAACAAAUUACAAAUUACCAUGGUAAAUGAACAAUUAAAUUUUUUUAAUAAAUUAGAAUUUUGAAAGCGAAUUUUUUUUUAACUUAUAAAAAGAUAAUACAAAAUAUGUAUUUCAUUUCAUUUCUUUUGAAACGAAAUAAACUUAGUUUAGCUUUUUUAUCUUCUUGACAUUUCAUGUUAUAUUAUUGAUUUAUUAUAACAUUUCAAAUGCAUUUAUUGUAAUGCCUAUAAUCGAUAAAACCACAACGGAAUACUACUAUAAGUGCACGACGACGGCAUUAUAAAUAGCUGUUAUUCAUUGGACGUAGAAAUGACAACCUUCACAUUGACUACACCGGCUACCUGACACACCAUGGCAGCAGAAAAUAUAUUGGAGUUGAAAAUGCAUGCGUUUUUAUUGCCCAAAUCAAGAAAAUAACACAAAAUUGUAAAUUAAAUGCAUACAUCUAUUCAGAAUCUAAAAUGGUUUUGCGAGGAUGUGUUUAAUGUAUUUAAUAUUGUUUUUUAAUAAAUAA
This is a long non-coding RNA of Aphis gossypii (cotton aphid), 794 nucleotides long. RefSeq lists it as uncharacterized. NCBI's taxonomy places the organism in Eukaryota, Metazoa, Arthropoda, Insecta, Hemiptera, Aphididae. The record is from RefSeq and is a predicted model, not a curated record. The transcript is spliced from 3 exons.